UAAAAGACUUUGAUGGUUUUGUUGCAGAGACUUGAGCUUUAACAACUUAAGUGGUCGGAUCCCACGGUCUAUGAAAAAUCUAUUUCUUAAUAGAUUGGGUCUCGCAAGCAAUAUGCUUAGUGGGCCAAUUCCUUCCUGGAUUCGUGACAUAUAUAAGGUGGAUCUGUCGUAUAAUUAUAACUUCACAAAUCCA
Populus euphratica (Euphrates poplar) is the source of this 193-nucleotide long non-coding RNA. RefSeq lists it as uncharacterized. The transcript has 3 exons. The record is from RefSeq and is a predicted model, not a curated record. Lineage: Eukaryota; Viridiplantae; Streptophyta; Magnoliopsida; Malpighiales; Salicaceae.